RNAcentral lists this long non-coding RNA (832 nucleotides) under Fukomys damarensis (Damara mole-rat). RNAcentral describes it as "lncRNA (ENSFDAG00000033268.1)". Lineage: Eukaryota; Metazoa; Chordata; Mammalia; Rodentia; Bathyergidae. The record is from RNAcentral.
GAGCCCCAUAGGGAAUGAGAUGCCUGCUUCCUGGAUGGUUCCCCUCUGGAGCCUCUCUCCGGGCCACGCGGACCGAGGGGUAGCAGUACAGAAAGAGCUUCUGCGUGCAAGUGGGGUACGCUGCCCUGUGUCCACCAGGGAGAGCACACCCUGGCCACACUGUUGGUUCAGGGACAUCAAGAGACCAAAAGAGAACAACAAAGGUGCAGGGCGUUUGCUAAGGGAUCCCUGGAAGAGAAAUCUUUUCACGGAGAAUGUCCUGGAGGGAGGGGAGUCUUCCCUCUCAGAGAGCCGCAGUGGGAGAGGGAAGGGAGCAGAGCUACGUGGACAGCUGGCCGGAAUCAGCAGGAAACCGAAAGAAGCUUAUGUUGGCCACAAUCCCAGACGAGUAUGUUUUUAGAAGGCGCUGACGUCCACCUCAGUCCAGCUGCCACUGGCACCAUUUCCCGCCUUCCUGCACAGUCCUGCAAAAUCCUGGGUACCCGGAAUAGCCACGCCCACCAACCAGUUCCACCCCGUCUCCCACAAAGCAAACGCACAGCAUUUUCUUUUGGUGGCCUCUGGUUCCAAACCCCACUGCCAAGUGAGAGCUCUUGGGCUCUGGGAGACAGAUUGAGCUUGAAAACUGCCCACAUAUACUGAGUAUAUAACAUUUGGGGAGGAUCUUUAAACAUUGUGAGUCUUUGAUUUAUCGUGUGAAAGUGGGAAUAAUAAACACCCACAUCACAGAUUUUUAAGUACUAAGCAAGAGAAUCCUCUUUGCAUCCUUCUAUGCUUCUUGCGACCUGUCUUCGCUUCUUCAAUUCUUCUUUUAUAAAAAUAUGCAAAUGUC